CGUCUUGAAACACGGACCAAGGAGUCUAACAUGUGCGCGAGUCAUUGGGUACCACUAUACCCAAGGGCGUAUUGAACGAAAAGCUCGGCUUGCCGAGUGAGGGAAGAUGGAGGCGCGCUUGCGUGCCUCCCGCAUUCCCGGGGCGUCUCGUCCUACCUCCGCUUGUCGGUCGAAGGUGAGGCGCACCAAGAGCGCACACGUUGGGACCCGAAAGAUGGUGAACUAUGCCUGGCCAGGACGAACUCAGGGGAAACCCUGAUGGAGGUCCGUAGCGGUCCUGACGUGCAAAUCGGUCGUCCGACCCGGGUAUAGGGGCGAAAGACUAAUCGAACCAUCUAGUAGCUGGUUCCCUCCGAAGUUUCCCUCAGGAUAGCUGGCGCUCGGCAGACCUUGCGAAGGCCCCCGGGCUCUUCCCGAAGGGCCCGGGGGCGGGGCAGAUUUAUCCGGUCAAGCGAAUGAUUAGAGGUCUUGGGGCCGAAACGAUUCU
RNAcentral lists this ribosomal RNA (487 nucleotides) under Povilla adusta. RNAcentral's name for it is "eukaryotic LSU rRNA". It matches the Rfam family "Eukaryotic large subunit ribosomal RNA", at positions 650 to 1048 of the family's 3401-position model. The record is from RNAcentral. Lineage: Eukaryota; Metazoa; Arthropoda; Insecta; Ephemeroptera; Polymitarcyidae.